Small nucleolar RNA from Syzygium oleosum, 95 nucleotides. RefSeq annotates it as small nucleolar RNA snoR109. NCBI's taxonomy places the organism in Eukaryota, Viridiplantae, Streptophyta, Magnoliopsida, Myrtales, Myrtaceae. The transcript has a single exon. The record is from RefSeq and is a predicted model, not a curated record.
CGGCUGUAGCCAGAUCCAAACGCCUCAGAGAAGUUUACUGGCCGUUUGUCGUUAAUCCUCCGUCGACAAUUCUGCUUACCGAACUUCUCACAUUC